Long non-coding RNA from Austrofundulus limnaeus, 499 nucleotides. RefSeq lists it as uncharacterized. NCBI's taxonomy places the organism in Eukaryota, Metazoa, Chordata, Actinopteri, Cyprinodontiformes, Rivulidae. The record is from RefSeq and is a predicted model, not a curated record. The transcript is spliced from 4 exons.
GCGGCAUCUUGUGGUGACUACAGGUAUCGUUUUCUUAUUGUCUGACGGUGAGAAGCAGCAGCUGUACAGUGCAACACCAAAGACUCAACAGUAAGAACAUGUAGUGACAAAUGUGUCUGGAGAAUGUUUGAAAACAUGCGGUGCCUCAGACCUGAAAGUGUCAUGCUGAGCAAUCAGGAAGGCCUCAAUGCAGGACUUAAGGCUGGACUGUCCUGAUCCUCCUGGUGACUCCACGUUUGGUCCUUGUCCAGACUGUUUGUUUUUUCACUCCAAGAUGAAGUGAUUCGUUGUCCUCCGCCCUGCCUCUCUCUCUCUUUCACGGAAAUUUGCAAGAGACAUAAUUGGAAAUUACCUGUGCUGGAUUCCUAACAAAGAACCUCUACAAACCUCCUCGUCCUUGUCAGCCUCCUCGCCUGGAUCCUGUAAGAAAACCAACAACUUCAAACACUUACCUGAGAACAUCAUCCUAAAUGGUUAUUCCCCCCUUUUCAGCAAAGAA